CCUACGGGAGGCAGCAGUGAGGAAUAUUGGUCAAUGGGCGCAAGCCUGAACCAGCCAUGCCGCGUGCAGGAAGACGGCCCUAUGGGUUGUAAACUGCUUUUGUAUGGGAGCAAUAANGUCUAUGCGUAGACUGAUGAGAGUACCNUACGAAUAAGNAUCUGCUAACUCCGUGCCAGC
Molecule: ribosomal RNA, 177 nt
Filed under: uncultured bacterium
Lineage: Bacteria
Description: partial 16S ribosomal RNA
Rfam family: Bacterial small subunit ribosomal RNA
Source: RNAcentral